RNAcentral lists this ribosomal RNA (497 nucleotides) under uncultured bacterium. RNAcentral describes it as "partial 16S ribosomal RNA". It matches the Rfam family "Bacterial small subunit ribosomal RNA", at positions 28 to 507 of the family's 1533-position model. The record is from RNAcentral.
GAUGAACGCUGGCGGCGUGCCUAAUACAUGCAAGUCGAGCGAACAGACGAGGAGCUUGCUCCUCUGAUGUUAGCGGCGGACGGGUGAGUAACACGUGGAUAACCUACCUAUAAGACUGGGAUAACUUCGGGAAACCGGAGCUAAUACCGGAUAACAUGUUGAACCGCAUGGUUCAACAGUGAAAGACGGUCUUGCUGUCACUUAUAGAUGGAUCCGCGCCGCAUUAGCUAGUUGGUAAGGUAACGGCUUACCAAGGCAACGAUGCGUAGCCGACCUGAGAGGGUGAUCGGCCCAACUGGAACUGAGACACGGUCCAGACUCCUACGGGAGGCAGCAGUAGGGAAUCUUCCGCAAUGGGCGAAAGCCUGACGGAGCAACGCCGCGUGAGUGAAGAAGGUCUUCGGAUCGUAAAACUCUGUUAUUAGGGAAGAACAAAUGUGUAAGUAACUAUGCACGUCUUGACGGUACCUAAUCAGAAAGCCACGGCUAACUACGUG